UAUUUAUUUUUUUGGAUGGUUGUGCUUCUAGUCCAUGGGGUUUUGGAUCAUGACUAGAUCCACACUCAUCCAAAAAGAGGAUUU
This is a non-coding RNA of Strigamia maritima, 84 nucleotides long. NCBI's taxonomy places the organism in Eukaryota, Metazoa, Arthropoda, Chilopoda, Geophilomorpha, Linotaeniidae. The record is from Rfam.